UUAUUAAAAGAAAAAGGGGUGAAAAGAACAAAGUUUUGUCCAUCUUUGUUCAUCAUAUCCUAAAGUUAGAGAAGAGAAAGGAGAGGAGAAAACUCUUGAAUGUUCGGUCACUUGGGGAAGAAAAUUGAAGGCAGUUCGUGUGUGGAUCUCGUCAGCAUAUCGUCGCAAACAGGACUUGACUGGUCUGACCUCUGUUUACUACGAACCAUAUUUCUCUCUGUACAAAAUUCAUAUGAAUAUGAGGUUUAUUUAU
Long non-coding RNA from Gossypium arboreum, 253 nucleotides. RefSeq lists it as uncharacterized. The transcript is spliced from 3 exons. The record is from RefSeq and is a predicted model, not a curated record. Lineage: Eukaryota; Viridiplantae; Streptophyta; Magnoliopsida; Malvales; Malvaceae.